Long non-coding RNA from Danaus plexippus (monarch butterfly), 233 nucleotides. RefSeq lists it as uncharacterized. Lineage: Eukaryota; Metazoa; Arthropoda; Insecta; Lepidoptera; Nymphalidae. The record is from RefSeq and is a predicted model, not a curated record. The transcript has 2 exons.
GUCAUGUCAAAGUCAUUGUCAACAAAAGCUGAGUGCAUGAUAAAUAUGAUAAAAAUGUUAAUUACUCGUUAACGCUUGUUCAGUACAUAAGACGCGCUCCAACUCCGAUCGGAGAUGGCGAUGUCGUAAAUGCUGGCUGUCAGAAGAUUGAUCAUGCUACUUGUAUAAUAUAACUUAUAUAGCAUUAAAUACGAAGGCUUACUUUUAUGCUAAAUAAAGAUUGUUACAAGGCA